UUUAAGUUAGGGCAAGUCUUUGUUGGCUUGGGCAUUGAGGGCCUCUAAUUUUGAGGCCCAUGGGGGAUGGAAAAAAAAAAAUUAAAAAAUUUAAGUUAGGGCAAGUGUUUCAGACGACACAAUCUGCUUUGACACUCCGCAGGACGCAGCCUCCGUAUAGCUUCAGGCUCAGGUGACACCGUGACAAGAAACUCAGAAAUGAACCAUUUUCGGUCACCGGAGAGGAAUUCUUUCAACCUGAAAGGAGAUGAUGAUAAUAACUCUAAAUUAGGCUCCACGACCGGUCUGAAUCGCAAGAAAGUCUGAAUCACAGCAAUUUCUUCUGCAGAAACUAGGGUUUGUGUUGUGUUUGUUCGCUGAUCGUCAUCAAUUUUACUAUGGAUCUUGAUAAAGAACCAAAACCUGAUAAAGAACCAAAACCUGAUCUUGAAGAUUACCAAAUAGACCGUUCAUAUAUAAAGAUGAGAGAACAGGCUAAGACUCCGUCGGUAAAGCUAAGGAUAAAGAAUCAAUACUAGAAGGUUACAGAUCUGGUGUGAGGAGCUAUUAUUUUGAAUUUGAAUGCAAAGAAGCCUGGGCGGAAAAACUGUGGAAGGGACAGAAGAUGCUCGAAAUUGGUGUUUGCGCAGAAAAUGGAGAUAUCAAAGAGGAGCCACUGAUUCAAUACUGAUGUUGAAGGAAUUCAGAACUCUAUAUCUGUUGAGACCGAGUGAUGUUGCUGUGGACUUCAAUCAAGAAGUGAUUGUGAUUAGUCAUGAAGGAUUUGAUUCCUAUUUUGUUGAGUGGUUGAAGCUUGGAAACAACACAAAGCUGAGAGUCUGCCUUUUUUUUGUAAACACAUUCGGUGACUAUGAAUUCAAGGAAUUCUGGAUUGAAUCGAUGAUGAGGUAAGAAUAUAUUUUUAUUUCAAAAAACUCAGUUUCUUUAUUUGAGUAGUACAUUAUAAUAAUACAACUUUUUACUAUCAAGUCCAGAAACAUUCUAGAUAUAAUAGGGUAUCUACACUAAAUGGGUAGAGCCCAUGGAAAUGUUCUACGUGAUGGCUCAUAUCCUUCUAUGGAUGAAAUGAUGGCAGAAGCAACCACAGUCCAUAAGUUGUCAAAGGCGCCUACAGGCGCCAGCUUGUCUCCUAUAAGGGACUAAGGCGACUGCCUUUGCAUAGGCGCAAGGCUACAGGCAGCACAAAGGGCACCUGAUUGAACCUAGCCUUUUAUUUAUUGUUUAUUAUUACUUUUUGUUUGGUAUUUGUUUAUUAUUACGUUUUAGAGAACCUUACAAAAUAAAAAAGAAUAAAAGAAAAGAAAAAGCAAAAAAGCAGAAGGAAAGUCAAAAGUGGUUCGAAGCAAAAGGAAAGAGACAGAGGGCUAGGGCUUGCGAAACAAAGAGGAUCUGCCGAGAUCUCUCGAAUCUGCCGACUUCUCUCACGGGCAUCCAUCUAUUGAAACACCCUUUGUUAUUGAAUGAGAGAGAGAUUUCAAUACUUUGUGGCUCUCUGCCAUCAUUUGGGAUAUCAUCACAGGGAUUGUACUUUUAACACUGACCAGAAAAUCAAUCAAGAGUUGAUCAAUCCAUGGGGAAAGGCAAAUUGGAUAGAUAAGGUUCGCAUGGAGCAUAAAAAGCGAGUUUGUGUUCCUUAUGAGGUUCCACAGUAUCAAGAAAAUGAGGCUGGAAGUGUAAACCAAUACAAAUCUUGUAUGUCUGAUUCGGUUCGUUUUGUUGAUAAUACAACUCAUCAUGGUUGUGACCAUGCAAAGAAUUUUAAGGAACUGAUAUAUCUUGAAGAAGAUGUAGCCAUGGAGUUGGGACACCAGAUUUCCUAGCUUUCUCUCAGCCUUACUCAAGGUUUCGGUCGAAGUGGUUAAUUAUCCGAUAAUGUAGCUUCUAAUCUUAAUAUGCUCAGGUACAGUGAUAUAACAUGAUUUAGCCAGAAUUUAGUUGUGUUUACAGUGAUUUUAGUAACACAAUCCGUGGUAAUUGAUGUUUCCUUGGUAUUUUGUCACUUAAUAGUUCUUGAAUGUGAACCAGAAUUUAGUUGUGUUUCCAGUGAUUUUAUUACCACUAUCAGUGGGAAUAUUUUGUCAACAAGGUUUAGACUGUUUUGUUUUCUCUAA
Cornus florida is the source of this 2111-nucleotide long non-coding RNA. RefSeq lists it as uncharacterized. The record is from RefSeq and is a predicted model, not a curated record. NCBI's taxonomy places the organism in Eukaryota, Viridiplantae, Streptophyta, Magnoliopsida, Cornales, Cornaceae. The transcript has 6 exons.